RNAcentral lists this long non-coding RNA (4866 nucleotides) under Homo sapiens (human). Its description in RNAcentral is "HSALNT0397356". The record is from RNAcentral. Lineage: Eukaryota; Metazoa; Chordata; Mammalia; Primates; Hominidae.
GGCUCUGUGGCAGGGAGUGGGAGGGUGAUUAACAGGGGAAGAAUUAGGAAAGAGGACACGCAAGACCACAGUAAGAGAUGGAAAUAAGAGAAUAUUCCUGAUUUCCACUGGAUGACUUUGACUGGUAUGAUUUCAUUCUCUGAAAGUGUUAACCAGGGUGCAGCAUGGCCAGAAACCAUUCCGAGCCUCAUGAAGUGGGCAAGUCAGGUUUGGUCAUUUUUGGUAAUGUCAUUGCAUGUACACAGUUUAAGACAGAGCAUCUGGUGAUUCUCGGACCUUCAAGCAAGUGUCACAUCUCAGGUGAACCUUGGCAGUUUUAAGAUGAACAAAGUAAUCAAAGCAAAAAUGUCAAAUAAUAAUAAUAAUAAUGAUAUCAGAAGAAUGUCCAGUGCCAUGGUUGGAUUCCCAGAAGGCAGCAUCUGCUCAUGCCAUCAACAACAUGGUGCCAUUUCAGUCAUCCUCUUUUUGUCCCAAAGACAGAAAAAAAAUAGAAAAAAGAAAGAGAAAAAGACACCACGAACCGUCUAUCCUCCUGGUAAUACAAAUACACCUGUAAAUAAACAUGUCAAUGUCUACACACAACGCACAUUUAUGCAGAAUCCAUCCUCUCGGUGCUUCCGUAGUUAUCAAGUAAAAGUCCUUCUAAGCCUAAGAAAUGAUAGUAUUAAUUCAGUCUUGGGGUGUGGGGGGAAAGGUGGACUAUCAUCAAAUAAAAAAGGCGAGGCUAAUUAAGUGACAUCCACUGGGGACUGGGAAAAGAAGAGACUUCUUGUGGGAAAGUAAUUAUAUCUUCAUUGACCCUCCUGGGGUACCCCCAGUGGCAGGGACUCUGCCUCGCGGUGUGACAUCUCCUUUCGGGAUGAGCAGCCAGUCACCUCGAGAAGCCCCCUUCUCCAUGGAUGCGUUUUCUAAUCAUUUCACAUGAUUGAGCCUCCAGCAAGUGAUGCUUUACUUAAUUCCUUUCCGCCUGUAGGGUGUGAGGUUUGGAGGGCCUCUCGUCAAAACUUUGGAGGGCUCUGUCAGUUUGAAAAGAACAUGACCUUUAAAUUGUAUCAGUAUGUUUGCUGGUGCAUAAGGGAGAGGAAAAGGUUCGUCCUGAUGGAAAACCACUCAGAAGCCAAGGAGUAAUUCAGAGGGAACCAGCCCAGGAAGAAUCAAGAAAGCUGCCCACAGUGUCAUUCUUCAGCUGAGAAAAGAGAGAGUUGACUAACUCCUCGGACUGGAGUGAGGACUCACAGAGGUGGUGAGAAGCCAUCCUCUCUUGAAUGGGGGCUCCCACUGUACAUCUGGCACCCACUUCACAGAUUCUGGGGGAUGUCAACACCAGCACUGCUGAGCUGUGUGACCUUGAGCAAGACAGUUAGCCUCUCUGAACCUCAGUGUCCUUCUCUGUAGGCUGGAGAUUGAUAUACCUUCAUUAUCGGGGUAUGAGAGUGUUAUAAGGUGGGAUGGUGGAACACGCUGACUGGUCUGGGCUAUUCAAGAUCCAUGAACUGGAAGAUGCUUUCUUAUAACUCAGAGAAAAGAGAUGAAAAUGAAUCAAAGAACAGGAAGGAGACAAGCUCAGGAGUGUGAAAACGGAUUAAUACGGAUUCCAUUAGCAGAAGCAGUUUUGGUGGGAAAAAGAUGAAGGGUGAAGAGGACUUUUACCUUAAAACAAUGAAGAGUCACCCUAAGAAGGAUGUGUGGAAGACUUGACUGGAGGAUCAAAAUGUGUCGGGGGAAGGUGUACAAGGAGGAGUAAGGACACAGAUGUCCUGACUUCACACAGUGGGGGAUUAGAAGCCACCAUCAAACACAGAUGAAACAGGAAUAAAAGUAGUAGUACAUUACUUAAGCUUUAAAAGGGUAAGACUCCUGGGAAUUUGGAAGCUGAGACUUGAGGCAAGUAUUUAGGAUUUGCUGUCUCACCUCCCUGCUAUGACAGUCCUUAAUUAAUGGAGAUGAUGGAGAACAGCUUGCUGGGCUGAGUGGCAGGAGCCAUGCAGCUGCUGGGGCUGGAGUGGGUCAGGAAGCUUCAUCAAUCUGGGACACAUGACGUGCUUGGUGGUGGCGGAGCCUGACGCAUCCCUCUUCAUCGACAUUGUGUCAAUAGGAGCAGAGGCAUUUAGCUGUGUAAACACAGAGCUUCAGUGGCAGCACCCUAAAUGCUUAGCUGAUAGAUCCGGAAUUAAAUACAGACCUAGAAACUGGAGUUGGAAAACUUCCUGGCAGCACUCCUUCCCUGCCAUCCCGGUGAUCCCCUUCUGGAUGGAGGGUGUGGAGCUCAGCACAUUCACGUCUGCAGUUCUCAGAGAACCAAGUGUUAAGGAAUGUCAGGGAAGGAAGAAGGCAGCCAGCCAGGAAGGGGAGGUCCUGGCCUGAGCACGCCAGGCACAGAGGGAUAGAGGGUAGGGAGGAAACUGCACCUGUCUCCAACCCUCGACCCCAGCCCCGAAACACGACAUUGGCUGAAACAGAUUAAAAGCAUAAAAUGGCCCAAAGAAAUGGGAGAAGGUUGGCCUCUGGUCGGGCAAACAUGAGGGCAUGAAGAUAUAUAAUGUCCCACACGGGAGGAAACCCUUGCCGGGCCCCUCAGGAUUUAUAACAAGCUCACCUGAAGGAGAAACUUCAGGGGCACUUACACCAUCAGAUACCUAGAAAGGAGCUGUCAUUUCCUCACUGAAGAGUUUGCAAGCAGAUGGUAAAAGGGGUUUAAUUUGAAAACACUGAAACAUCGUGUUCGCUCAAAACCAUGACAAUUGCAGUUUUAUUGUCUCCACUCAGGAAAAUGUGUGUCUGGAUCAUCUUGUGGCCCGAAUGGGGAGAAAAGCAGCACAAGAAUGGAAUAGUACAGUGGCUACGAACACAGAAACCACACUCCAGGCCCAGUCCCCGGCAGUGGCCUCCAGGACCCACUCUGAGCUAGAUCACAUCAGUGAUGGGCUGGCCAAUCUUUAAGGAGAAUGACUCUACUCUUAGGAAGCCAGCAGGUUGGAGGAGGAAACACAUUCAAAUCCCGAGCACAAGGAGCUGGGAGAAGACCGGUUAUGGGAGCGGCAUUCCUGGAAGCUCUGAAGUCACAGCCCCACUGAUGAAAGGAUGUAAGAACCUAAGAGUGGAAACCUGCCCCUGGGAUUCAUAUGGUGUCCCCUCAGGACUCAAACCCUGGUCUGGUAUGCUCAGUAAAUGAAUGAAUAUACCCACUACACCCCAGGUUAUUUUUUUUCUGAAGACAUCGUUUGACACAGAGGGAACACUGUAGAUAAGAAGCCCAACCCUGUUAGAAAGCAGAAGGGUUUGUUUGGGAAAAGGAAACAAAAUAUAUUUUUAAGCUCCAUAAACAUAUGAUGAAUGCUAACAAGGUAUUUUCAAAAUAAGAAGCACAUAGAAACAGCUUAUGUUUCUGGUCAAAUGAAGUUGUAAUCAAAUCGUUAUCAAAGCAAAAAAAAAGAGAGGAAGAAAUCAAAAUGAGUCAGAAGAGUUUUUGGAAAGAUUCAGCAACUUAACUGACUUGAAGAGAUUUCCCUUGUCUCAGUCUUACUGCUGCUUCUAGGGGAACACAGUUUUGCACGGGAAUCGAGGCCAACUUGCAACCCACAGGCACUCUGGAGGAACAAAGAAAGUAUCGCCUGCAACUCACCACGGUCUCUCUCUCUUAAGCCCUUGCUCUUGCCAGAAGAAGUUUCACACAAAGGUUUGCCUGCGAGGCUGCGCUUUCCUCUCCAGAUCAGCAGAAACAACUUACCAGCAGAAAUACUUAAUGACGGAGCCAAGACUGGCACAGCCACGCGGUCACAGCUUUGUUCCCAAGAAGCAAGCCAAUUAGCAGCCCUGGUUAUUAUUUACAUUUCCCGCAAUAUAUCACUAAAAUUGUGUUGAUGAUUUAUCAUUUAUAUUAUGUUAUUGUCAGCAUAAUUUAUUCAGAUCAUGCUGAGAUACCUGGAAAAUUAAGUAAAAGAAAAAGAAGUGGCAUUGAAUUCAUCGGGUUUGAAAGAUAUUUCUCAGCUUCUUUUUUCUCUCCCUCUCUUUCUCUCUCUCUCUCUCUUUUAAUGAGGAUAGAUGUUAAGAAAAAUCAUGGAUCACUUAGCUAUUAAAUUGUUCCAGGAUCAUCUGCAUUAAAAGUUUGCUCAGUAUUCUUUUGUGAGAGAACAUGGCUUGGGCGUUCAUUUGGAUUUUCUUCUGGAACCUUUUCUUUCAGUCUAUUAUUUCAAAGUAAAAAAAAAAGGAAAUGCAAUCCUCUUUAGUUUAGAGCAAAGCAGAGUGGAUUAAUGAGGGGCUGGAGGCUUCUCUUCCAAUUUAUAAAACAUCCUUAUCUUCUGCCUUAUAUUCUAUUUGCCCCACCCUCUGGGAAAUAAUUGUUGCUUAUCAGAAUUAGAGAUAAAAUAUUCCAGUUGUUGAAGCCAUUCAUCAUCUAGGCAUUCUAGAAAAGCAGUUACUGAACUAGAGGCAGCAUUUUGAGCAUCAGAGCUCUGGGUUCUAGUCCCAGGUCUGUCCAGGCUUUGUGUGAUUCCAGGAGUCACUGAAGCUAUCCUGCUUCUGUUUCCCCAGCAGUGGGAUUCAUGGAUGUCCAGGAUCAGGCUUGCUGGGUCUGCCCCAGGUCUUCAGAAUCAGACUGCCUGGGGAAGGCACAUGGAGGUCUUUUUGACAGGUGUCAUAGGUGAUACUUCUACACACUUCAGUUAGAAAAGUCAUUGGGCUUACAUAUGCCUGCAGCCACUUCCAGCUCCAGUCUUCCUAGAGUUCUACGGACUCUAAUUAUAUGGCAUGUUUUGCAUAUUUCUGAAACUUCAUAUGGGAAACAAACUUUUGGAAAUUGAUUCAUUUAAGAAUCUGUGGCCAGGCGUGGUGGCUCACGACUGUAAUCCCAGCACUUUGGGAGGCUGA